This 72-nucleotide transfer RNA is filed under the name Bos taurus (domestic cattle). It matches the Rfam family "tRNA". From Rfam's summary of the family: Transfer RNA (tRNA) molecules are approximately 80 nucleotides in length. Their secondary structure includes four short double-helical elements and three loops (D, anti-codon, and T loops). Lineage: Eukaryota; Metazoa; Chordata; Mammalia; Artiodactyla; Bovidae. The record is from Rfam by way of RNAcentral. RNAcentral also lists the same sequence under 3 other names.
UCCCUGAUGGCUCAAAUGGUAAAGCGUCUGCCUGCAGUGUUGGAGACCCAGGUUCAAUCCCUGGGUGGGGAA